RNAcentral lists this ribosomal RNA (736 nucleotides) under uncultured bacterium. RNAcentral's name for it is "bacterial SSU rRNA". It matches the Rfam family "Bacterial small subunit ribosomal RNA", at positions 8 to 790 of the family's 1533-position model. The record is from RNAcentral.
GGAGAGUUUGAUCAUGGCUCAGAACGAACGCUGGCGGCAGGCCUAACACAUGCAAGUCGAGCGCGCCUUCGGGUGAGCGGCGGACGGGUUAGUAACGCGUAGGAACGUACCCUUCUCUACGGAAUAGCCUUUGGAAACGAAGAGUAAUACCGUAUACGCCCUUUGGGGGAAAGAUUUAUCGGAGAAGGAUCGGCCCGCGUUAGAUUAGAUAGUUGGUGGGGUAACGGCCUACCAAGUCUACGAUCUAUAGCUGGUUUUAGAGGAUGAUCAGCAACACUGGGACUGAGACACGGCCCAGACUCCUACGGGAGGCAGCAGUGGGGAAUCUUAGACAAUGGGCGCAAGCCUGAUCUAGCCAUGCCGCGUGAGUGAUGAAGGCCUUAGGGUCGUAAAGCUCUUUCGCCUGUGAUGAUAAUGACAGUAGCAGGUAAAGAAACCCCGGCUAACUCCGUGCCAGCAGCCGCGGUAAUACGGAGGGGGUUAGCGUUGUUCGGAAUUACUGGGCGUAAAGCGCACGUAGGCGGAUUGGAAAGUUGGGGGUGAAAUCCCGGGGCUCAACCCCGGAACUGCCUCCAAAACUAUCAGUCUAGAGUUCGAGAGAGGUGAGUGGAAUUCCAAGUGUAGAGGUGAAAUUCGUAGAUAUUUGGAGGAACACCAGUGGCGAAGACGGCUCACUGGCUCGAUACUGACGCUGAGGUGCGAAAGUGUGGGGAGCAAACAGGAUUAGAUACCCUGG